UACGUAGGGGGCAAGCGUUAUCCGGAAUUAUUGGGCGUAAAGAGUACGUAGGUGGUUAUGUAAGCGUGGGGUGAAAGGCAAUGGCUCAACCAUUGUUAGCCUUACGAACUGCAUGGCUUGAGUGCAGGAGAGGAAAGCGGAAUUCCUAGUGUAGCGGUGAAAUGCGUAGAUAUUAGGAGGAACACCAGUGGCGAAGGCGGCUUUCUGGACUGUAACUGACACUGAGGUACGAAAGCGUGGGGAGCAAACAGGAUUAGAUACCCUGGUAGUCCACGCCGUAAACGAUGAGCACUAGGUGUCGGGGGAGCGAUCCUUCGGUGCCGUAGUUAACGCAUUAAGUGCUCCGCCUGGGGAGUACGCACGCAAGUGUGAA
RNAcentral lists this ribosomal RNA (373 nucleotides) under uncultured bacterium. Its description in RNAcentral is "bacterial SSU rRNA". It matches the Rfam family "Bacterial small subunit ribosomal RNA", at positions 524 to 898 of the family's 1533-position model. The record is from RNAcentral.